GACGAACGCUGGCGGCGUGCUUAACACAUGCAAGUCGAACGGAAAGGCCCUGCUUGCAGGGUACUCGAGUGGCGAACGGGUGAGUAACACGUGGGUGAUCUGCCCUGCACUUCGGGAUAAGCUUGGGAAACUGGGUCUAAUACCGGAUAGGAGCCAUCUCUAGUGUGGUGGUUGGAAAGUUUUUUCGGUGUAGGAUGAGCUCGCGGCCUAUCAGCUUGUUGGUGGGGUAAUGGCCUACCAAGGCGGCGACGGGUAGCCGGCCUGAGAGGGUGUACGGCCACAUUGGGACUGAGAUACGGCCCAGACUCCUACGGGAGGCAGCAGUGGGGAAUAUUGCACAAUGGGCGCAAGCCUGAUGCAGCGACGCCGCGUGGGGGAUGAAGGCCUUCGGGUUGUAAACUCCUUUCGCUAGGGACGAAGCUUUUUUGUGACGGUACCUAGAUAAGAAGCACCGGCUAACUACGUG
This 466-nucleotide ribosomal RNA is filed under the name uncultured bacterium. RNAcentral's name for it is "partial 16S ribosomal RNA". It matches the Rfam family "Bacterial small subunit ribosomal RNA", at positions 28 to 507 of the family's 1533-position model. The record is from RNAcentral.